Molecule: small nuclear RNA, 101 nt
Organism: Capra hircus (goat)
Lineage: Eukaryota; Metazoa; Chordata; Mammalia; Artiodactyla; Bovidae
Source: Ensembl
GUGCUUGCUUCAGCAGCACAGGUACUAGAAUUGGAAUGAUACAGAUUAGCAUGGCCCCUGCACAAUAUGACAUGCAAAUUCAUGAAGUGCUCCAUAUUUUA